Non-coding RNA from Podarcis lilfordi (Lilford's wall lizard), 81 nucleotides. Lineage: Eukaryota; Metazoa; Chordata; Lepidosauria; Squamata; Lacertidae. The record is from the annotation of a GenBank genome assembly.
GCCCUCAGCAAAGUGAAGCUCCAUUGGUAGAGCCAGAGACUCUGAAUCUCAGGGCUGUGGGUUUGAGCUCCACACUGGGCA